RNAcentral lists this ribosomal RNA (204 nucleotides) under uncultured bacterium. RNAcentral's name for it is "partial 16S ribosomal RNA". It matches the Rfam family "Bacterial small subunit ribosomal RNA", at positions 568 to 771 of the family's 1533-position model. The record is from RNAcentral.
UGUGUAGGCGGUUCUUUAAGUUUGCUGUGAAAUCUCCCGGCUUAACCGGGAGGGUGCGGUGAAUACUGAGGGACUAGAGUACGGGAGAGGAAAGUGGAAUUCCUGGUGUAGCGGUGAAAUGCGUAGAUAUCAGGAGGAACACCGGUGGUGUAGACGGCUUUCUGGACCGACACUGACGCUGAGACACGAAAGCGUGGGUAGAAC